UCUCCAGACUCCUACGGGAGGCAGCAGUGAGGAAUAUUGGUCAAUGGGCGCGAGCCUGAACCAGCCAAGUAGCGUGAAGGAUGACUGCCCUACGGGUUGUAAACUUCUUUUAUAAAGGAAUAAAGUGAGGCACGUGUGCCUUUUUGUAUGUACUUUAUGAAUAAGGAUCGGCUAACUCCGUGCCAGCAGCCGCGGUAAUACGGAGGAUCCGAGCGUUAUCCGGAUUUAUUGGGUUUAAAGGGUGCGCAGGCGGGAGAUCAAGUCAGCGGUAAAAUGUCGGGGCUCAACCCCGGCCGGCCGUUGAAACUGGUUUUCUAGAGUUGGAGAGAAGUAUGCGGAAUUCGUGGUGUAGCGGUGAAAUGCAUAGAUAUCACGAAGAACUCCGAUUGCGAAGGCAGCAUACCGGCUCCAUACUGACGCUGAGGCACGAAAGCGUGGGGAUCGAACAGGAUUAGAUACCCGUGUAU
Molecule: ribosomal RNA, 467 nt
Filed under: uncultured bacterium
Lineage: Bacteria
Description: bacterial SSU rRNA
Rfam family: Bacterial small subunit ribosomal RNA
Source: RNAcentral